Molecule: long non-coding RNA, 975 nt
Organism: Rhodamnia argentea
Lineage: Eukaryota; Viridiplantae; Streptophyta; Magnoliopsida; Myrtales; Myrtaceae
Exons: 3
Source: RefSeq, a predicted model, not a curated record
CCUCAGCUAACGGCGAGUGGCCCGUCGAGCCGCCGGCACCCUGGCCUGACCCAGCCACCAUCGCCGAUAUGGCAAUCUCUCAUUGCUUUAGGUUCCUCUCGGCUCCCUCCCUCUCCAUCUCCUGAACUCAGCUGCAAAAUCUCAGACAUUCUGUACCCAGAACUCAACUCGCUGCACCUUGAGGCUUCAACAAAGACCGAAGCACUGUGACCCCAAGCAAACUCAGCAAUCACUUGGCUACUCGCACUCUCCCUUUUUCGGUUCAGGCUUCUUGCUGGGGUACUCUCAUCGAUGGACUCCACUCGAGGGUCAAUCUCGUCGUCUACGAAAAUGGGUCAAUCGAUCUCGGCCCUCUCCACACAAACAUCUGACUAAAAAAAAGCUCAAUCUUUACAUGUCCCUCCAUUGCUGGGGUUGUUUUAUUGCACUGUUGGGUUGCUUCAACUGUACUUGGAUCAGAGAACUUAUUCAAAAGCUUCCCAAGGGAGUCUGGAGAAAACAGCGGCUUCACUGUGUAAGUAUCCACCACGAAAAUUUGAUUUCAAUUUUGCCAAAGAUGAGGGGAGAAUGAAAAAUUGUUGGUCCUGACAUGAUGAUUGGUGACUGGAGAGGUUUCUAGAUUGGGGUGGGGGUGGUUUCUUUCAUGAUGUUGAUGAAUUUGGAGUACUGGUGGGUUUCAUUGAAUUGAGCGCUAACUGUACAAAGCUGGAGUGGCAGACAUCGUUGAGGCAUACAUUCUGUUUGCAGUGGCUGAGUUUAUGUGGUUGUCCCUGGACAGAAGUUGGUUUGGUUGUGCCUUUGCUUGCGUUGUUGGUCUUGCCUGCCCAUUGGCUGAGAUUCCUCUCAUGAAGUACUGGUCCUGUAGUUUUCAUAUAAUAUGUUGGAAUCGUUUAAUUUGCUUUGGAUGCUUUACUUGUUAACCUUCACAGUAAAAAUUUAUGAUAUUCUUAAAUGAUUGUGCAUUAAUUAGUAUUU